This 215-nucleotide unclassified non-coding RNA is filed under the name uncultured fungus. RNAcentral describes it as "sequence contains ITS1". The record is from RNAcentral. Lineage: Eukaryota; Fungi.
UAUAAGUUUAUCAACGCUUUUUAGGGCGAGGACAUAGAUUACAUUCUGAUAGACUGAGUUUAUGAUGAAGACGUAGGGGCCUUUUUACGGGCCCUUACAUUGAGUUCACAGGUGUGUAUGGAUUAAGGGCUCGGGCGUGCACGUGCCCCGGAAGGCCAGCUACAACCCUCACCUAUAAUUCGAUAAUGAUCCUUCCGCAGGUUCACCUACGGAAA